UGUCGGAUCCCGCACCUUUCUAAGCCUGUGU
RNAcentral lists this non-coding RNA (31 nucleotides) under Homo sapiens (human). The record is from RNAcentral. Lineage: Eukaryota; Metazoa; Chordata; Mammalia; Primates; Hominidae.